This 446-nucleotide ribosomal RNA is filed under the name uncultured bacterium. Its description in RNAcentral is "partial 16S ribosomal RNA". It matches the Rfam family "Bacterial small subunit ribosomal RNA", at positions 338 to 795 of the family's 1533-position model. The record is from RNAcentral.
CCUACGGGGGGCAGCAGUCGAGAAUCAUUCACAAUGGGGGAAACCCUGAUGGUGCGACGCCGCGUGGGGGAAUGAAGGUCUUCGGAUUGUAAACCCCUGUCAUGUGGGAGCAAAUUAAAAUGAUAGUACCACAAGAGGAAGAGACGGCUAACUCUGUGCCAGCAGCCGCGGUAAUACAGAGGUCUCAAGCGUUGUUCGGAACCACUGGGCGUAAAGCGUGCGUAGGCUGUUUCGUAAGUCGUGUGUGAAAGGCGCGGGCUCAACCCGCGGACGGCACAUGAUACUGCGAGACUAGAGUAGUGGAGGGGGAACCGGAAUUCGCGGUGUAGCAGUGAAAUGCGUAGAUAUCGAGAGGAACACUCGUGGCGAAGGCGGGUUCCUGGACAUUAACUGACGCUGAGGCACGAAGGCCAGGGUAGCGAAAGGGAUUAGAUACCCGGGUAGUC